CGGGAAUGUGCGAACCACGCAUCGAGCUGUUACGCGUACCUACCGCUUCGGCCAUCAUUGCGUUUACCGGUUCGAUCAACGAUUCUCUAUAUCUCAAAACAAUGACAACCAGUUGGUAUAAUUACUGCUUGGUAGAUUCAAGUAUAUACAUCAAUGGGGAGCAAGGUGUCCGCAAUCUGAUUUAAAUAAUCGCAACGAUGCUCGACGAAAAGAAGUUCUCAAGCGGCGACGAUGAUCAACUCUAAAGGAGCAAACCGCAAUUCAAUCCUGUCCGAGUCAAUUCAUUCGAAAUGUAUUCGGUCCAAUUGUAGCAAUUUGCAUGCAUGGACGGAGAAUGAGUCUUACAUGGCGAAAGGAACGCGAUCACAUGGUAAAGCCGCACGCUUCCGUUAAACCAAAGAAAUCAAGAGACAAAUUCUUUGGUAUUCGAGGAGAAGUUAACGGCAGGUGGAGGGAAGUUGGGGGAAGGUGAAACCAAAAGGAAGCAGACUGCCAUGGCAGCGAGAGACUGGCAGCAGAGCGGAUGUCAUUUCGUGGUCGACUUAUUUCGUUACCGGUUUCUUUAAUAACUUUCAUGAAGAGAGAAGAAACUCGUUUCGAAAGGACGAUGUUCUUCCGUUCAGAAUAUCAGAAUUUUAAUGUUCAGAAAGAAUUAUCGAUAGUAACUGGAACGUUGAAGUUUUAUUAGAUACGGAAAAUUGCAAUUUAAUUCGACGAAGAUAAAAGAUGUAGUUAAUGAUGCACGAUGCCACGUGGGCACGAAAUGUAUUACGCAAAUAAAUGCCACUUCACAAUGUUUCUUUGUGUCAAAUUAAGAGGGUAUUCUAUUGUUGACACAGAGACAAUUAAAAUUAGGUAACAGAAACGAGAAUUGUUUAUUAUCAUGACAAUACUUAUUCACACGUCUCACUUUUAGCGCCG
RNAcentral lists this unclassified non-coding RNA (921 nucleotides) under Bombus terrestris (buff-tailed bumblebee). RNAcentral describes it as "misc RNA ENSBTSG00005032231.1". The record is from RNAcentral. Lineage: Eukaryota; Metazoa; Arthropoda; Insecta; Hymenoptera; Apidae.